UACGUAUGGUGCAAGCGUUAUCCGGAUUUACUGGGUGUAAAGGGAGCGUAGGCGGCGCGUUAAGUCUGAUGUGAAGACCCGAGGCUCAACCACGGGAGUGCAUUGGAAACUGGCGGGCUGGAGUGCCGGAGAGGUAAGCGGAAUUCCUAGUGUAGCGGUGAAAUGCGUAGAUAUUAGGAGGAACACCAGUGGCGAAGGCGGCUUACUGGACGGCAACUGACGCUGAGGCUCGAAAGUGUGGGGAGCAAACAGG
RNAcentral lists this ribosomal RNA (253 nucleotides) under uncultured bacterium. Its description in RNAcentral is "partial 16S ribosomal RNA". It matches the Rfam family "Bacterial small subunit ribosomal RNA", at positions 524 to 776 of the family's 1533-position model. The record is from RNAcentral.